RNAcentral lists this ribosomal RNA (465 nucleotides) under Vreelandella stevensii. RNAcentral describes it as "partial 16S ribosomal RNA". It matches the Rfam family "Bacterial small subunit ribosomal RNA", at positions 338 to 795 of the family's 1533-position model. The record is from RNAcentral. Lineage: Bacteria; Pseudomonadati; Pseudomonadota; Gammaproteobacteria; Oceanospirillales; Halomonadaceae.
CCUACGGGUGGCUGCAGUGGGGAAUAUUGGACAAUGGGGGCAACCCUGAUCCAGCCAUGCCGCGUGUGUGAAGAAGGCCCUCGGGUUGUAAAGCACUUUCAGUGAGGAAGAACGCCUGGUGGUUAAUACCCAUCAGGAAAGACAUCACUCACAGAAGAAGCACCGGCUAACUCCGUGCCAGCAGCCGCGGUAAUACGGAGGGUGCGAGCGUUAAUCGGAAUUACUGGGCGUAAAGCGCGCGUAGGUGGCUUGAUAAGCCGGUUGUGAAAGCCCCGGGCUCAACCUGGGAACGGCAUCCGGAGCUGUCAAGCUAGUGUGCAGGAGAGGAAGGUAGAAUUCCCGGUGUAGCGGUGAAAUGCGUAGAGAGCGGGCGGAAUACCAGUCGCGAAGGCGGUCUUCUGCACUGACACUGACACUGAGGUGCGAAAGCGUGGGUAGAAAACAGGAUUAGAUACCCCUGGAGUC